Molecule: long non-coding RNA, 661 nt
Filed under: Ursus maritimus (polar bear)
Lineage: Eukaryota; Metazoa; Chordata; Mammalia; Carnivora; Ursidae
Description: lncRNA (ENSUMAG00000018037.1)
Source: RNAcentral
UCCACUUACAACUCUCUUUUUCUCUCAUUACAGGACAGCUCUGUCUUCCCCGUCAUCUGUUCUCCCAGUUCAGCAGCCAAGUUCCCAGUCCCCAGUCCCAGAACCUCAUGAUCCGCUCCUUCGGCAGCGCGCUCGUGUUGAUUUCCUUGUUCUUCUUCUGGGUGUCCGUGCAACCACAGCUAUGAGUGGCAGCUCAGUCUACUUUCCUGCUCCAGAGCUUCCCAGCCUCGCUGGGGGAAGUUAAGGAAGGCCGAUUGGUGUCCUUGCAAAUUCUCCCCCAUCUGAGGCCCUUCUGCUGCUCAGGAAUCUUCUUGUGCAUCUUGCGUGGACUAUCUGUCGAGUGUUCCUUCCAUUCUUUUCCCCGCCCCCCAGGAGCUCUGCACCCAGGCCUCACCCGGCACCACGUGGACGGGAGAUGACAGAAGUGGAAGGAAGGAAAGCCAUCACUUACCGAGGACCAGCGGUGAGCCCAGGUCUGCUUGGACGCUUCUCACGAAUGGCAUCGCAGAGGCUCUUCUUUUCCUCUGGUUCUCCUUGAAUCGCCAGUACUGGAGAUUGGCCCCAAUGGUGAACACACCUGCUGCUGAGUCAUUUGUGUGAGUAUUAGUAAUAAGUAAUAUCUAUCAAGCCCAUAACACAUGCCAGGUGUUUUACAGGAAGC